GGGUUGUGAGGUUAAGCGACUAAGCGUACACGGUGGAUGCCCUGGCAGUCAGAGGCGAUGAAGGGCGUGCUAAUCUGCGAUAAGCGCCGGUAAGGUGAUAUGAACCGUUAUAACCGGCGAUACCCGAAUGGGGAAACCCAGUGUGAUUCGUCACACUAUCAUUAACUGAAUCCAUAGGUUAAUGAGGCGAACCGGGGGAACUGAAACAUCUAAGUACCCCGAGGAAAAGAAAUCAACCGAGAUUCCCCCAGUAGCGGCGAGCGAACGGGGAGGAGCCCAGAGCCUGAAUCAGCAUGUGUGUUAGUGGAAGCGUCUGGAAAGGCGCGCGAUACAGGGUGACAGCCCCGUACACAAAAGCGCAUGUGCUGUGAGCUCGAUGAGUAGGGCGGGACACGUGGUAUCCUGUCUGAAUAUGGGGGGACCAUCCUCCAAGGCUAAAUACUCCUGACUGACCGAUAGUGAACCAGUACCGUGAGGGAAAGGCGAAAAGAACCCCGGCGAGGGGAGUGAAAAAGAACCUGAAACCGUGUACGUACAAGCAGUGGGAGCCCCACCACCAAAGCAUUCUCUGGUGUUGAAGGCCCUGCAAAGCAGCAUCGCGGUGGCGGAGCGUCGUUUGCGACGCCCAACACACAAAACAAGCGGUGAAUGCUUUGUGGUGGGGUGACUGCGUACCUUUUGUAUAAUGGGUCAGCGACUUAUAUUCUGUAGCAAGGUUAACCGAAUAGGGGAGCCGGAGGGAAACCGAGUCUUAAUUGGGCGUUAAGUUGCAGGGUAUAGACCCGAAACCCGGUGAUCUAGCCAUGGGCAGGUUGAAGGUUGGGUAACACUAACUGGAGGACCGAACCGACUAAUGUUGAAAAAUUAGCGGAUGACCUGUGGCUGGGGGUGAAAGGCCAAUCAAACCGGGAGAUAGCUGGUUCUCCCCGAAAGCUAUUUAGGUAGCGCCUCGUGAAUUCAUCUCCGGGGGUAGAGCACUGUUUCGGCUAGGGGGCCAUCCCGGCUUACCAACCCGAUGCAAACUGCGAAUACCGGAGAAUGUUAUCACGGGAGACACACGGCGGGUGCUAACGUCCGUCGUGAAGAGGGAAACAACCCAGACCGCCAGCUAAGGUCCCAAAGUCAUGGUUAAGUGGGAAACGAUGUGGGAAGGCCCAGACAGCCAGGAUGUUGGCUUAGAAGCAGCCAUCAUUUAAAGAAAGCGUAAUAGCUCACUGGUCGAGUCGGCCUGCGCGGAAGAUGUAACGGGGCUAAACCAUGCACCGAAGCUGCGGCAGCGAACGUAUCACUUAAAGCGAUUCAGCGGGUUACGAUUGACGGAGCGAAGCGACGUCAAAGCGUAUACAAAGUCGAGUCGGUUUAAGGAUACGUUCGUUGGGUAGGGGAGCGUUCUGUAAGCCCGUGAAGGUGGCCUGUGAGGGUUGCUGGAGGUAUCAGAAGUGCGAAUGCUGACAUAAGUAACGAUAAAGCGGGUGAAAAGCCCGCUCGCCGGAAGACCAAGGGUUCCUGUCCAACGUUAAUCGGGGCAGGGUGAGUCGACCCCUAAGGCGAGGCCGAAAGGCGUAGUCGAUGGGAAACGGGUUAAUAUUCCCGUACUUGGUGUUACUGCGAAGGGGGGACGGAGAAGGCUAUGUUGGCCGGGCGACGGUUGUCCCGGUUUAAGCGUGUAGGUGUGUGUUCCAGGUAAAUCCGGUUCACUUUAACACUGAGGCGUGAUGACGAGGCACUACGGUGCUGAAGCAACAAAUGCCCUGCUUCCAGGAAAAGCCUCUAAGCAUCAGGUAACAUCAAAUCGUACCCCAAACCGACACAGGUGGUCAGGUAGAGAAUACCAAGGCGCUUGAGAGAACUCGGGUGAAGGAACUAGGCAAAAUGGUGCCGUAACUUCGGGAGAAGGCACGCUGACACGUAGGUGAAGUGAUUUACUCACGGAGCUGAAGUCAGUCGAAGAUACCAGCUGGCUGCAACUGUUUAUUAAAAACACAGCACUGUGCAAACACGAAAGUGGACGUAUACGGUGUGACGCCUGCCCGGUGCCGGAAGGUUAAUUGAUGGGGUCAGCGCAAGCGAAGCUCCUGAUCGAAGCCCCGGUAAACGGCGGCCGUAACUAUAACGGUCCUAAGGUAGCGAAAUUCCUUGUCGGGUAAGUUCCGACCUGCACGAAUGGCGUAAUGAUGGCCAGGCUGUCUCCACCCGAGACUCAGUGAAAUUGAACUCGCUGUGAAGAUGCAGUGUACCCGCGGCAAGACGGAAAGACCCCGUGAACCUUUACUAUAGCUUGACACUGAACAUUGAGCCUUGAUGUGUAGGAUAGGUGGGAGGCUUUGAAGUGUGGACGCCAGUCUGCAUGGAGCCGACCUUGAAAUACCACCCUUUAAUGUUUGAUGUUCUAACGUGGACCCGUAAUCCGGGUUGCGGACAGUGUCUGGUGGGUAGUUUGACUGGGGCGGUCUCCUCCUAAAGAGUAACGGAGGAGCACGAAGGUUGGCUAAUCCUGGUCGGACAUCAGGAGGUUAGUGCAAUGGCAUAAGCCAGCUUGACUGCGAGCGUGACGGCGCGAGCAGGUGCGAAAGCAGGUCAUAGUGAUCCGGUGGUUCUGAAUGGAAGGGCCAUCGCUCAACGGAUAAAAGGUACUCCGGGGAUAACAGGCUGAUACCGCCCAAGAGUUCAUAUCGACGGCGGUGUUUGGCACCUCGAUGUCGGCUCAUCACAUCCUGGGGCUGAAGUAGGUCCCAAGGGUAUGGCUGUUCGCCAUUUAAAGUGGUACGCGAGCUGGGUUUAGAACGUCGUGAGACAGUUCGGUCCCUAUCUGCCGUGGGCGCUGGAGAACUGAGGGGGGCUGCUCCUAGUACGAGAGGACCGGAGUGGACGCAUCACUGGUGUUCGGGUUGUCAUGCCAAUGGCACUGCCCGGUAGCUAAAUGCGGAAGAGAUAAGUGCUGAAAGCAUCUAAGCACGAAACUUGCCCCGAGAUGAGUUCUCCCUGAGACUUAGAGUCUCCUGAAGGAACGUUGAAGACGACGACGUUGAUAGGCCGGGUGUGUAAGCGCAGCGAUGCGUUGAGCUAACCGGUACUAAUGAACCGUGAGGCUUAACCUUACAACGCCGAAG
Molecule: ribosomal RNA, 3110 nt
Filed under: Salmonella enterica subsp. enterica serovar 4,[5],12:i:-
Lineage: Bacteria; Pseudomonadati; Pseudomonadota; Gammaproteobacteria; Enterobacterales; Enterobacteriaceae
Description: 23S ribosomal RNA
Rfam family: Bacterial large subunit ribosomal RNA
Source: RNAcentral